UAUAUUGCUAACUGCAUAUUAUUUCUUAUACAUUUGUAUUUAUUACAUGUAUUGAAUAUAUAGAACUUUCUCUCUUUGAACUACUCUGACAGGGUAAUGCUAAAUGUUCAUCCCUAAACUGUUUAAUUGUAUGAGCACUGACAACAGAUUUUAUGAGGCUUACUCUGUUUCUUUAUUCAGUAAACGUGAAGGAGCUGAGAGAAACAGCAGAGGAAACCAAAGGGCUGUCCAUUCUGAUGCCCAUGAUGAGACAUACACAGCUCUCAACCCCAGGAGCACAUCCUCUGAGUAUGACACUCUGCAGAAUGUGAGGAAUGUGAGUGACACCUACAUGCCUCUCCAG
This is a long non-coding RNA of Clupea harengus (Atlantic herring), 343 nucleotides long. RefSeq lists it as uncharacterized. The record is from RefSeq and is a predicted model, not a curated record. Lineage: Eukaryota; Metazoa; Chordata; Actinopteri; Clupeiformes; Clupeidae. The transcript has 3 exons.